This 817-nucleotide ribosomal RNA is filed under the name uncultured marine bacterium. Its description in RNAcentral is "bacterial SSU rRNA". It matches the Rfam family "Bacterial small subunit ribosomal RNA", at positions 69 to 878 of the family's 1533-position model. The record is from RNAcentral.
GUAACAUUGGUGCUUGCACCAGAUGACGAGUGGCGCACGGGUGCGUAACGCGUAUGCAACCUACCUUUUACUAGAGUAUAGCCCAGAGAAAUUUGGAUUAAUCCUCUAUAAUAUCUUUUAAUUUCAUGAUUAAUUGAUUAAAGUUUUAACGGUAAAAGAUGGGCAUGCGUCCUAUUAGUUUGUAGGUGAGGUAACGGCUCACCUAGACUACGAUAGGUAGGGGCCCUGAGAGGGGGAUCCCCCACACUGGUACUGAGACACGGACCAGACUCCUACGGGAGGCAGCAGUAAGGAAUAUUGGACAAUGGACGAAAGUCUGAUCCAGCCAUGCCGCGUGCAGGAUGAAAGCCCUAUGGGUUGUAAACUGCUUUUAUACAGGAAGAAACACUCCGACUUGUCGGAGCUUGACGGUACUGUAAGAAUAAGGAUCGGCUAACUCCGUGCCAGCAGCCGCGGUAAUACGGAGGAUCCAAGCGUUAUCCGGAAUCAUUGGGUUUAAAGGGUCCGCAGGCGGUCUUUUAAGUCAGAGGUGAAAGCCUACAGCUCAACAGUAGAACGGCCUUUGAUACUGAAAGACUUGAGUUAUUGUGAAGUGGUUAGAAUGUGUGGUGUAGCGGUGAAAUGCAUAGAUAUCACACAGAAUACCGAUUGCGAAGGCAGAUCACUAACAAUAUACUGACGCUCAUGGACGAAAGCGUGGGGAGCGAACAGGAUUAGAUACCCUGGUAGUCCACGCCGUAAACGAUGGAUACUAGCUGUUCGUCUAACAUUGGUUAGAUGAGUGGCUAAGCGAAAGUGAUAAGUAUCCCACCUGGGG